Molecule: ribosomal RNA, 895 nt
Filed under: uncultured Bacteroidota bacterium
Lineage: Bacteria; Pseudomonadati; Bacteroidota
Description: bacterial SSU rRNA
Rfam family: Bacterial small subunit ribosomal RNA
Source: RNAcentral
AUGAACGCUAGCUACAGGCCUAACACAUGCAAGUCGAGGGGAAACGGCAGCUUAGCUUGCUAAGCUGGACGUCGACCGGCGCACGGGUGAGUAACGCGUAUCCAACCUGCCCCACGGUGAGGGAUAACCCGCGGAAACGCGGCCUAAUACCUCAUGGUCUCCGAGUUUGCCAUCAACCUUGGAGUAAAGAUUCAUUGCCGUGGGAUGGGGAUGCGUCUGAUUAGCUUGUUGGCGGGGCAACGGCCCACCAAGGCAACGAUCAGUAGGGGUUCUGAGAGGAAAGCCCCCCACAUUGGAACUGAGACACGGUCCAAACUCCUACGGGAGGCAGCAGUGAGGAAUAUUGGUCAAUGGGCGAGAGCCUGAACCAGCCAAGUAGCGUGCAGGAAGACGGCCCUAUGGGUUGUAAACUGCUUUUAUGCGGGGAUAAAGCGGGCGACGUGUCGCCCUUUGCAGGUACCGCAUGAAUAAGGACCGGCUAAUUCCGUGCCAGCAGCCGCGGUAAUACGGAAGGUCCGGGCGUUAUCCGGAUUUAUUGGGUUUAAGGGGAGCGCAGGCCGGGUAUUAAGCGUGUUGUGAAAUGUAGGCGCCCAACGUCUGCACCGCAGCGCGAACUGGUGCCCUUGAGUACGCACGACGUUGGCGGAAUUCGCCGUGUAGCGGUGAAAUGCUUAGAUAUGGCGAAGAACUCCGAUUGCGAAGGCAGCUGACGGGAGCGCUACUGACGCUCAUGCUCGAAAGCGCGGGUAUCGAACAGGAUUAGAUACCCUGGUAGUCCGCGCGGUAAACGAUGGAUGCCCGCUAUUUGCGCAUUAGCGCAAGUGGCCAAGUGAAAACGUUAAGCAUCCCACCUGGGGAGUACGCCGGCAACGGUGCAACUCAAAUGAAUUGACGG